GCCCGAUUAGCUCAGCUGGUUAGAGCGUCGUACUAAUAAAUAAUUCCUUCUGGAGUAUUUAUCAAGUCAUGCGAAGGUCAACAGUUCAAUCCUGUUAUUGGGCA
Non-coding RNA from Podospora appendiculata, 104 nucleotides. Lineage: Eukaryota; Fungi; Ascomycota; Sordariomycetes; Sordariales; Podosporaceae. The record is from the annotation of a GenBank genome assembly.